Molecule: ribosomal RNA, 398 nt
Filed under: Bradyrhizobium sp.
Lineage: Bacteria; Pseudomonadati; Pseudomonadota; Alphaproteobacteria; Hyphomicrobiales; Nitrobacteraceae
Description: bacterial SSU rRNA
Rfam family: Bacterial small subunit ribosomal RNA
Source: RNAcentral
CGGCAGGCUUAACACAUGCAAGUCGAGCGGGCGUAGCAAUACGUCAGCGGCAGACGGGUGAGUAACGCGUGGGAACGUACCUUUUGGUUCGGAACAACACAGGGAAACUUGUGCUAAUACCGGAUAAGCCCUUACGGGGAAAGAUUUAUCGCCGAAAGAUCGGCCCGCGUCUGAUUAGCUAGUUGGUGAGGUAAUGGCUCACCAAGGCGACGAUCAGUAGCUGGUCUGAGAGGAUGAUCCAGCCACAUUGGGACUGAGACACGGCCCAAACUCCUACGGGAGGCAGCAGUGGGGAAUAUUGGACAAUGGGGGCAACCCUGAUCCAGCCAUGCCGCGUGAGUGAUGAAGGCCCUAGGGUUGUAAAGCUCUUUUGUGCGGGAAGAUAAUGACGGUCCGCA